This is a long non-coding RNA of Spinacia oleracea (spinach), 966 nucleotides long. RefSeq lists it as uncharacterized. Lineage: Eukaryota; Viridiplantae; Streptophyta; Magnoliopsida; Caryophyllales; Amaranthaceae. The record is from RefSeq and is a predicted model, not a curated record. The transcript has 8 exons.
AGAAACUCCAUUUUUGACGGCGACUUCAUCUGAAAUCUCCUCUAACCAACCUAUCUUAAUUUGUCCAUUUUAGUGAAUAAGCAAAACCCUAGGAUCCGCGGCGAAGAAGGAGACAUCGAUCUCGAAGCAGUACAUAUCGAUUUAUGAAGGUUCACCCAUUUUUGAAGGUUGGGAUCUCCGAUUCACCUUGUCGUCGUCCUUGAAAUUUGAGGUCGUAUUUGGAUGCAAGGCUAAAUGGAGCGAAAUCAUGGGCAAUUGGGUGAACAUUUGUGAUAUUUGGAUUAAGAAGUUGCUGAAAUGUCCUCUGCAAAUAUAGGAGAUGUAGGACCAGGUAGUUCAAUGGCUUACAGUGAUCAGAAUGGUUCAUCUAGUUCUUCGGAUUGGUUAGGGAAAGAGAUGCUUGAAUUAAGACUCGGAGACCGAGCGGACCGCGCUGAUGAUAGGGAAGUAAUUCAAUUGAUCAUUCGGGUACUUCUCAAGGAAGUACUGCUAAUACAAUAAGUGGAGAUAAUUCAGAUAAUGCGUCUGUUUUCUCUUUUAUAUCCGAUAACUUAACAUCGAUAAAAUUGAAUUUAUUCAACUCCUCUAAGCCACACAAACUAAGUCGUGAAUUUCUUUCCUUGGAGAAAUUGGGAUUUCGACGAGCUUUCCUUGUUUUAAGCUAUCUAGGAGGGAGGAAGCUUGAGGAUGUAGCUUCUGUUCCCGAUAUUAAAGGUCUAGUAGCUGAAAGUGAAAAACUUACUAUGGGAUCUUUUGAGAACCUGGUGUGGGGUCGAUAUGGUGAUGGUAUUGCUUUGUGUGCAGAGAUGGGACCUAGUGUACCUGGAAGCACACGGCAGGAUAUAUAUUUUUGUUCCAGUUUCCAGGAUCAUCCACAGCAGUCAGUUUUCUGGUCACUUUUUUCACCUUGCCGAAAUGGCGUGCCUCAUCAAGUUGAUCCCUCCUUGUCACUUUCAGUCAGGUUGG